Molecule: long non-coding RNA, 5178 nt
Filed under: Sus scrofa (pig)
Lineage: Eukaryota; Metazoa; Chordata; Mammalia; Artiodactyla; Suidae
Description: lncRNA (ENSSSCG00000061106.1)
Source: RNAcentral
AGCCACAGGAGGUGAGCAUGGAAGUGGAUUCUCUCCCAUCAAGACUUCAGCCUUCAUGGAUUCUGGUAAGAAAUCUGCUUUUAUUCAUAUUCUUCCUCUAUGGGUAAUGUUUUUUCCUAGCCUCUAUCAAGACCUUUUUUUUUUUUCCUUUUCUUUGGUUUUCAGAAAUUCAAAACUAUGAUGUGACUGAGCAUGGGUUUCCUUUAGGUUUAUCUUGUUUGGGGUUCGUUCAGCUUCUUGAAUCUAGAGUAUAUCUUCUGUCAAAUUCAGAACAUUUCCAGCCAUUAAUUCUUCAAAUGUGACUUCAGCUGUGUACCUUUUCUUCUCUCCUUCAGAAGUAAUUACAUGAAUGCUAAUUUUGUCACUGUCCCACAGGUCUGUGGGAUUCCAAUCACUUUUAUUCAUUUCUUGGUCUGUCGUUCGAAGUACAUAAUUCUUAGUGAUCUAUCUCCAGGCUACUGUAUUUUUUCAGUUGUAAAAUUUGUUUGGGUUUUCCUUAAAUCUCUUAUUCAGGUUGAGAUUUUUCCUGGCUUAUACGGUGAAUAAUUUGGCAUUGGAUCCUGGACAUUGUGAGUAUUUUGCGAAUCUUGUUCCUAUUUAUUUAUUGUCUUUUGUCUACUUAGGGCCGAACCCUUGGCAUAUAGAGGUUCCCAGACUUAGGGGUCUAAUCGGAGCUAUAGCCGCCAGCUUACGCCACAGCAGUGCAGGAUCCACGCCACGUCUUCGACCUACACCAUAGCAACAACCUACACCACAGCAAUGCCAGAUCCUUAACCCACUGAGCAAGACCAGGGAUUGAACCCACGUCCUCAUGGAUACUACUCCGGUUCAUUAACCACUGAGCCACAACAGAAUCUUGUUCCUAUUUCAGUCUUCUAUUUUAUAAGGCAGACUGUUCAGAUUCAGUGGGUUCAGGCCCGCCUUGUUCAAUUUUCAAAGCCUUUGCAGUGCUGUCUCCACUUGGGUGCUACCCAGAAAUCAAUCUGAAACUUGGGCAGUAGUCCACACAUAGUUCAUUUUACCAGGUUGAUUCACGUGUAGUCUGUUUGAGCAUCUGCCCAGAACUUCAUUAACAGAUCUAAAGGAACCUUUUCUCCAGUUCCCUCCCUUCUGCAACCCUCCCUCAGUUUGUAGUUGGGAUGGUCAAGGUACCACCUUUUUGCAGCUGCUCACUCAGUACAGGGCAGGAGUGGCCCACAGAGCUCCUCCCCACUGUCCUAGCCACAUGCAGUGACUAGGGGGAUGGCUGAUCAUCUGGAAUAGGUCAGGUUUAAUCAAGAGGCUUUUUUCCCUGUAGGUCAUUCUUCUGCCAUUCCUUCUUUCUUUGUCUAUACCCAUUGAUGUUUUCAGAUUUAGGUUUUCCUUGUACCCAAGCUAAAGGAAAGUAAAAAGGCGGCAAAAGAAAAACCCCAGUAAACGUCCAAGUCAUUCUUCAAGUUUGAAAGUGCCUACCCAGGCCACCACCUUUUUCCACCUUUCAGUCUUUUGAUAGUUGCUUUAUAUAUUUUGUCCAGGGAUUUUAGUCAUAUUUAGCAGCAGGAACAAGAUGGAAUAUACUUACUUUAUUAUGUGUUUUAUUCAAAGUCCUGCAAGUAGCCUUUCAAAAACAGGUUUUUAUCUAUAUACUAAGAAACCAAAACAGUUUUAACAAUAAAGGAACUCAAAUUUAUUAAGCACUUAUGUGUCAGACAUUAUGCACAGUGAUACUAAAACUUUUCUAACAACCCAAAUAUUAAUUAAAUUCUUCUGUUAAUUAUAAAGAAUAAGGCUCAGGCCAAAGGCAGGAAAGUAAUAUCUAUGCCAUGUUCUAUGCUUACUGGGGUUUCAGUUUGUUUUUAAAAUAUGGAAAAGUAUAAAGAAACUAGCAAACACCUUGCAUACAUGCUUUCUAGUAUUGAUCAUUUUUACCACAUUUGUAUAUUCUUAAGUAAAAUACCAUAAACAAAGCAGACAUACUUUUCAUCCAUGCCCCUCCUCCAACCAAUAGAUUAGGAGUUCAGUGUUGCCUUUUCUGUUUUAUACUUAGGCAUUGAUAAACAAAACAGUAUUUCAAAUGAUAAAAUCUGCAACUUGUAUUAGACAUUACGCUUUUCUUUUAAUAAUAUAAUAAAUGUAAAGAGAUUAGGAUUACCUGAUGUAUUUAUUCCUAUCAUUGCAGUUUGUUUCUUGUUAUGGAAGAGGCAGGAGUAAUUCUUACCUUUUCUCCUUGUUCAUAUAUUUAAAGAGGAUUUGGUCCUCAGCCCCAACCCACCCUCCACCCCUCUUCAUCCACACACACACAGUGGACUGAAAGGUAAUGUUUCUAUUGUUCUUAGUUCAUUCUUAAUUUUUCAAUAUAACUACACUUUAGAACAUAUUGAUAUUAGUGAUAAUUUACAAAAUGGUCAGUACCUCAGUUUUUUUCCUCAGUAAAACUAGUAUAUUUGUUUCCCUUCAGAUUACUUUUUCUGACCUAAUUUCCAUGUUAAUGUUCAAUAUUUUAGUUACAACAUUUUUUAAAAUUUUAUGGUGGCACCCAUGCCAUGUGAAAGUUUCCAUGCCAGGGUCUGAAUCUGAGUCACAGCUGCAACCCAAGCCGUGCCGAAUUCUUUAACAGACUGCACUGGCAGAACCCAAGCUGCUAUGGUCAAAUUCUUCACCCACCACGCCAUGGUGGAAACCCCUACUUACCACUUCUUUUUUAAACCCAAGUUGUUAUUUUAUUUUAUUUAUUUAUCUAUUUUUGGUCCAUUUAGGGCUACACCCCGCACCAUAUGGAAGUUCCCAGGCCUAGGGGUCAAAUCAGAGCUGUAGCCACUGGCUUAUGCUACAGCCACCACAACAUGGGAUCCAGGCUGCAUCUGCAACCUAUAUACACCACAGCUCAUGGCAAUGCCGGAUCCUUAACCCACUGAGCGGGGCCAAGGAUCGAACCUGCAUUCUCAUGGAUACUAGUCAGAUUCGUUAACCACUGAGCCAAGACAGAAACUCCACAAGUUGUUCUUUUAUUUUGUCUUUUUGUCUUUUCUAGGGCUGCACCCUGGGCAUAUGGAGGUUCCCAGGCUAGUGGUCCAAUCGGAGCUAUAGCUGUGGGCCUAUGCCAGAGCCACAGCAACUCGGGAUCUGAGCCGUGUCUGUGACCUACACCACAGCUCAGGGCAAUGCCAGAUCCUCAACCCACUGAGCAAGGCCAGGGACCAAACCCGAAACCUCAUGGUUCCUAGUCGGAUUCGUUUUUCACGCUGAUUUUUUAUUUUCAUUUUUACUUUUUUAGUGGCCGCACCCAAGGCAAAUGGUUUUUCCUAAGCCAGGGAUUGAAUCUGAGCUGCAGCUGCAAUCUAUGCCACAGCUUCGGCAGCACCAGAUCCUUUAACCCACUGCACUAGGCCAGGUAUUGAACCCAGCAACCCGAGAUGCAGGAUUUGGACUCUUAAUCCACUGCAUCACUGUGGUGACUCCACACACUGAUUUUAGAAAGAUAAACUGGCUGGGUUUAGAAUUCUAGGUUGCUAGUUAUCUUUCUUCAGCAGGUGUUCCAUUGUGUUCUGGCAUCUUUUAUUGCUGAAAAAAGUUGGAUAUCAACUUGACUAUUUCUUUGAAAGAUAUGUUUUCUAAUAGCUUCCCAGUUUCACUAUAAACUCUCGCUGUGGAUUAAUUUCUGUUUGCCUUGUUUGAGAUUCAUGGUACUCCUUUAAAUUGAAAAUACAUGUCUUCAGUUCUAGAAUUCUAAAAUUUUCCUUUAAAAAUGGCCUGCUAGAAAUUUUCAGCAUUCUACCCUCCAUAGCUUAAUAUCUCUUAAAUCUUUCAUCUCUUUACCUGCUCUAUACUUUGGUCCAGGUGAUUUCCUUCUAUCUUCCAAUUCACUUUCUCUUUGAGGCUGUUCCACUGUUUAACUGAACCAGUUGUUAUUUUUGUUGAAUGUUUCACAGUGCAACUAUACUAUGAAUUUGGCUUCUGCCUUCACAGGUAGCAAAGAUUCUUGUUAGUGACUUUGUUUCCAUCCCUGGCCUGGGCGGGAAAGCUUUUUUUCUGCUAUGACCCUGAGGUAGUAGAUAAGAAUUUUUCAGUCUUUGUGUUAGAAUAGAACUUCCUCAGUUUUCAGCAUGACCCACUUCUGCUUCUUAAUAUCCCUUGUAACUGCAGCCUUGAUUGCUAACAUCUCUUCCUUGGCAUUUUUGAAACCUGUGCCUAAAGCAUAUAUCCAGUCCAGCUACUUCAUGGGUCACGUAGGUCCUCUUCAUUUCUGCCACCUGGAGUUUCCUUUUUCUUCCUUGAGAAUGUUUCCCCAACCCCCUUUCACUAGCACAUCCAUAUCUUUGGAGCAGGAAUGGUAAUAAUUCCCCUACUGGCAUCUUUCAUACCAACUUAUUACUCACAUACACCCUAGGAGGUAAAUGGCAUUAUCUCCAUUUUACGGACAAAAGUAGUGUCUUCAGAGUUACUGAGUCACUAAAAGUAGUCAGGAGCAGACUUAGAACUUAAACUCAAGGCUGUGUGUUACUUUCUGCUACUUUUUCUGCUUGACUAUGUUGUUUAUUUAUUCAGUAUUUUUCUAUUAUAUCCUCUUGAUCUUAGAAAACCAGGUUCGGACACUAUUUUAAAGACAGCCUGACCAAAUUUCUCCUGAAAAUGUCUGAAUGGUUGUUAAAUGGCACCUAUUUAUUUUUAGAGACCCUUAUCAUUUUCAUACCAUUAAAAACCAUGGUCUUCAUUCCUAAGUGCAGCUCAUUUCUGGGAAAUAAUGAUGUUUAAGGAUGAUAUUGAGUCUGUUUUAACUGGCACUUUUCAGCCUCUUAUCCCAGAACUGCCUUGUGCUCAGGAGCUUCAGCCCUCAGACCUAUGGCACUUGUGUGAUUGCAGACCCUGCCCCAGGCUAAAGGCUAUCUUUCUGACAAAAAGAAUAGAAAUAGUGCUGACUCUCCCCACUCCCUCCUACCCCCCACCAUGGCUGGCACCACACACUAUACUCACUCCUUUGCUAUUUGCAAGUUUACAGCCUGCCCAACUGUCUCCUUCCAUGGAAAAUAUUUCCUUCAUUGUCUUUUGGAAUGCAUUUGAAGCCGCUUCUCUUAACCAAUAAAAACAUCUAGUUUUUCUAUUUUGGGGAACUUUAAUAUUCUUAGGUAGCUCACAUUGGAUAAAAUGUCUUGAAUGCAAGGAAAGUAUCCUUUUUUUUUUCCAUUCUUUGUGCCAGACUUU